Molecule: long non-coding RNA, 936 nt
Organism: Lactuca sativa (garden lettuce)
Lineage: Eukaryota; Viridiplantae; Streptophyta; Magnoliopsida; Asterales; Asteraceae
Source: RefSeq, a predicted model, not a curated record
UUCAAUUUGUGAAUUGAAUUAUCAAGGUAACUUACGUUUGUAUAUUAGUUUUAAAUAACCCUAUGCGAUUAGGAAAACUGCCGCAACCUAUCUGUUCUUCUUCGUUUCCGUUACCAUAUCGAUUCGCAUCAAACCCCUUCCUUGGGGCCGCCAUAUUUACGUCGACCACAGAAGAAGGAAGAGAGGGAAAAGCAAAAUGAGAACGAGAUAGUAAAACACAUUUGGCCUUGUUCUUACUGUUGUGCGAUCAAUACCAGGUCAUCGACGACUUAACGAGAUUACGAGGUGACGGCUAGGGCAACCCUAUAUAUCAUAAAGUUACGGGCAAGGGUAGAACCUAGCAGUUAGCAUGAAACCCUAUCCGGAUACAUUUGAGCCUGGUUGGUUGAAAAAUACCUUCUAGGAAAAGAGCUUAAGCCAUUUACGAGUUGCUCGGUCUUUCUAGAUGCCCGUGCGACACAUGGUACGUGUACACUUCGGUGUUUGCAGACUGGAGUGAUGUUAGCCAUUCAAACGAGGCUUGUACAAACAUCACGUAGGUGUUGGGAGGUGGCGGACGAAUGCCACCGCUUGUACCAACACCAGGACGACACCGUGAUGUACUUGUACAUUGCAUAGCCGGAAUAGUGAAAGUGGAGUCUUGGGGUCGGUGUGACGGGUGGGAGUCGCGAACCACUUAAAACAUUUGGUUGGCUAAGCACACAAGUAGCGAAUGGGGUUUUUCCUUUGGGGUUAGGUAUUACUACGAGACUACCUACGCCUAUACGAUGAUGAUAUAUUCCUUUGAUAUGAUUAUAUAUGAUUACGAUAUGAUUAUGCAUGAAAUACAAUUGAUGUCACACAAAUGAAUGAUAUGUGAAUGGAUGACACAAAGUUGAAUAAUUGAAUUUUAUAUGAAAGAUGAUUGAUUAUUAUUUUAUAAGGGAAUUUUGUUUA